Molecule: ribosomal RNA, 308 nt
Filed under: uncultured bacterium
Lineage: Bacteria
Description: bacterial SSU rRNA
Rfam family: Bacterial small subunit ribosomal RNA
Source: RNAcentral
AUUGAACGCUGGCGGCAGGCUUAACACAUGCAAGUCGAGCGGAAACGAUGGUAGCUUGCUAUCAGGCGUCAAGCGGCGGACGGGUGAGUAACGCGUAGGAAUCUACCUAGUAGUGGGGGACAACAUGUGGAAACGCAUGCUAAUACCGCAUACGCCCUACGGGGGAAAGCGAGGGAUCUUCGGACCUCGUGCUAUUAGAUGAGCCUGCGUAAGAUUAGCUUGUUGGUGAGGUAAUGGCUCACCAAGGCGACGAUCUUUAGCUGGUCUGAGAGGAUGAUCAGCCACACUGGAACUGAGACACGGUCCAG